This 507-nucleotide ribosomal RNA is filed under the name uncultured bacterium. RNAcentral's name for it is "partial 16S ribosomal RNA". The record is from RNAcentral.
GGAGUUAGCCGGUGCUUCUUCUGUGAGUGAUGUCCUUCCUGCCGGCUAUUAACCCGCAGGCCUUCUUCCUCACUGAAAGUGCUUUACAACCCGAAGGCCUUCUUCACACACGCGGCAUGGCUGGAUCAGGGUUGCCCCCAUUGUCCAAUAUUCCCCACUGCUGCCUCCCGUAGGAGUCUGGUCCGUGUCUCAGUCCCAGUGUGGCUGAUCAUCCUCUCAGACCAGCUACGGAUCGUCGCCUUGGUGAGCCGUUACCUCACCAACCAGCUAAUCCGACAUAGGCUCAUCCGAUAGCGCGAGGCCCGAAGGUCCCCCGCUUUCCCCCGUAGGGCGUAUGCGGUAUUAGCCUGGGUUUCCCCAGGUUAUCCCCCACUACCGGGCAGAUUCCUAUGCAUUACUCACCCGUCCGCCGCUCGCCACCAGGGAGCAAGCUCCCCGUGCUGCCGCUCGACUUGCAUGUGUUAGGCCUGCCGCCAGCGUUCAAUCUGAGCCAGAAUCAAACUCUGA